AUCUACGGCCAUGCCACCCUGAACAAGCCCGAUCCCGCCUGAUUUCGGAAGCUAAGCAGGGUCAGGCCUGGUUAGUACUUGAAUGGGAGACCAUCUAGGAAGACCAGGUACUGUAGGCG
RNAcentral lists this ribosomal RNA (119 nucleotides) under Pteropus alecto (black flying fox). The record is from RNAcentral. Lineage: Eukaryota; Metazoa; Chordata; Mammalia; Chiroptera; Pteropodidae.